RNAcentral lists this long non-coding RNA (202 nucleotides) under Lathyrus oleraceus (garden pea). RNAcentral's name for it is "Pisum sativum (pea) long non-coding RNA (PSAT_LNC039248)". The record is from RNAcentral. Lineage: Eukaryota; Viridiplantae; Streptophyta; Magnoliopsida; Fabales; Fabaceae.
AAGUUUGUUCAUGAGCUGUCAUGCUCGCUAGGCGAGCCGAAUGGGUCGCCUAACGAGUCCCAAGAAAAGCCACCAGAAUGACUUACGCUCAAAGGAAUUUCUUCAACUGUCAUGCUCGCUAGGCGAAGCCCACGUGUUUAAAAAAAAAUAAUCGAAAAAAAAAACGAAAAACGAAAAACGAAAAUAAAUAAAUAAAUAAAAU